Molecule: non-coding RNA, 128 nt
Filed under: unclassified sequences
Description: DUF3800-I RNA
Rfam family: DUF3800-I RNA
About the family: Actinobacteria, Firmicutes, Fusobacteria, Proteobacteria (1 example), Tenericutes (2 examples). Terminator (Clostridia)
Source: Rfam by way of RNAcentral
UUUUAAUACCGGAGGUACUUACCCCUCGACAGGUCAAUAGUCGGUGGAUGGUUAAAAAUACUAAGCGUAUGUUAAGUACGUCGCCCCGAUUAGGUCCCACUCAUUUCUGAGUGGGAUUUUUUUAUGGA